GACGAACGCUGGCGGCGCGCUUAACACAUGCAAGUCGAACGGAAAGGCCUGCUUUCCCUUGUGGAUUGCGGGUACUCGAGUGGCGAACGGGUGAGUAACACGUGAGUGAUCUGCCCCCAACUUGGGUAUAAGCCUGGGAAACUGGGUCUAAUUCCCGAUAGGACUGCAGGGUGGUGCCUGUGGUGGAAAACGAUUUUCUAGUGGUUGGGGAUGAGCUCGCGGCCUAUCAGCUUGUUGGUGGGGUAAUGGCCUACCAAGGCGGCGACGGGUAGCCGGCCUGGGAGGGUGGACGGCCACAUUGGGACUGAGAUACGGCCCAGACUCCUACGGGAGGCAGCAGUGGGGAAUAUUGCACAAUGGGCGGAAGCCUGAUGCAGCGACGCCGCGUGGGGGAUGACGGCCUUCGGGUUGUAAACUCCUUUCAACCGCGAGGAAGCCACCUGGUUGGAAGGGUGGUGACGGUAGUGGUAGAAGAAGCACCGGCUAACUACGUG
RNAcentral lists this ribosomal RNA (494 nucleotides) under uncultured bacterium. RNAcentral's name for it is "partial 16S ribosomal RNA". It matches the Rfam family "Bacterial small subunit ribosomal RNA", at positions 28 to 507 of the family's 1533-position model. The record is from RNAcentral.